RNAcentral lists this ribosomal RNA (253 nucleotides) under uncultured bacterium. RNAcentral's name for it is "partial 16S ribosomal RNA". It matches the Rfam family "Bacterial small subunit ribosomal RNA", at positions 524 to 776 of the family's 1533-position model. The record is from RNAcentral.
UACGGAGGGAGCUAGCGUUGUUCGGAAUUAUUGGGCGUAAAGAGCUCGUAGGCGGUUUGUCGCGUCUGCUGUGAAAACCCGAGGCUCAACCUCGGGCCUGCAGUGGGUACGGGCAGACUAGAGUGCGGUAGGGGAGAUUGGAAUUCCUGGUGUAGCGGUGGAAUGCGCAGAUAUCAGGAGGAACACCAAUGGCGAAGGCAGAUCUCUGGGCCGUAACUGACGCUGAGGAGCGAAAGCAUGGGGAGCGAACAGG